AUCUAGCCCCGAUGGAAACGGCAUCCUUUUUAUCCGUCUUUUUGCGGAUAAAAAGAUAUAGUGUACAGCGGGAGGAAAG
RNAcentral lists this small RNA (79 nucleotides) under Flavobacterium sp. KMS. Its description in RNAcentral is "Flavo-1 RNA". It matches the Rfam family "Flavo-1 RNA". The record is from Rfam by way of RNAcentral. Lineage: Bacteria; Pseudomonadati; Bacteroidota; Flavobacteriia; Flavobacteriales; Flavobacteriaceae.